CUGCAGCCAAUUAAGCCGACCAGGACCCCCCCCCAGUGGGGUCUUGGUGUGCAAUGGCUGCAAACAGAGACCCCCCCGGCUGUGUAGGGUGCCCGGACCCCCAACCCUGCCGGGGCACCCAAAGGGGCCGGGGGCACAAAU
Myiozetetes cayanensis is the source of this 141-nucleotide small nucleolar RNA. RefSeq annotates it as small nucleolar RNA SNORA70. The record is from RefSeq and is a predicted model, not a curated record. The transcript has a single exon. Lineage: Eukaryota; Metazoa; Chordata; Aves; Passeriformes; Tyrannidae.